GAUGAAGAACGUAGCGAAAUGCGAUAAGUAGUGUGAAUUGCAGAAUUCAGUGAAUCAUCGAAUCUUUGAACGCACAUUGCGCCCCUUGGUAUUCCAUGGGGCAUGCCUGUUCGAGCGUCAUUUGUACCUUCAAGCUUUGCUUGGUGUUGGGUGUUUGUCCCUCGGGACUCGCCUUAAAGUCAUUGGCAGCCAGUGUUUUGGUUUUGAAGCGCAGCACAAGUCGCGAUUCAAGGCUAUCCGCCCGCUUCCACAAGCCUUUUUCACUUUUGACCUCGGAUCAGGUAGGGAUACCCGCUGAACUUAAGCAUAUCAAUAAGCGAGGA
This 323-nucleotide unclassified non-coding RNA is filed under the name soil metagenome. RNAcentral describes it as "partial contains 5.8S ribosomal RNA, internal transcribed spacer 2, and large subunit ribosomal RNA". The stretch from base 1 to 120 matches the Rfam family "5.8S ribosomal RNA", at positions 35 to 154 of the family's 154-position model. The record is from RNAcentral.